CGGUGAAUACGUUCCCGGACCUUGUACACACCGCCCGUCAAGCCAUGGAAGCUGGGUGUACCUAGAGUCGGUAACCGCAAGGAGCCGCCUAGGGUAAAACUAGUAACUGGGGCU
This 114-nucleotide ribosomal RNA is filed under the name uncultured bacterium. Its description in RNAcentral is "partial 16S ribosomal RNA". It matches the Rfam family "Bacterial small subunit ribosomal RNA", at positions 1360 to 1482 of the family's 1533-position model. The record is from RNAcentral.